Long non-coding RNA from Gadus chalcogrammus (walleye pollock), 2058 nucleotides. RefSeq lists it as uncharacterized. Lineage: Eukaryota; Metazoa; Chordata; Actinopteri; Gadiformes; Gadidae. The transcript is spliced from 8 exons. The record is from RefSeq and is a predicted model, not a curated record.
UUCCAGGAUUUUAGGUUUAAAGUUGUUGUGCAUGGUAGUUUGGUUCUUCGUAUGGUUUUGAGUGAUUAUAACUUGUACACACUGGGUGCAUAAUAAUGUAAUGUUACACUGAAUAGUAUUAAUGACCAACAGCAACAAACAGAUCCCCUCAAGGUAAGUCUGUUGGCUGUAUUUUAAUGAAGACCAUCGCUGGACUUCAGGAUCUUCCUCCGUUCAGCUCAAGGUGAGGCGUUUUUUCUUUGGUUGGUUCCGGCUGGAAUGUUCGGAUUCCAGUCGGACGGUUUGUGCUUCCCGCCGUGGAAGGUUCUGAGUGCGGUCACUUGAUUUAGUCCCAAUGGUUAGCAUAGAAAGUUGUAGUCUUGACAACCAUAAGAACACUGACACGAAUUUCGUACAAUAUGUUAAUUUCCGAUGGUUGCGCCGUACUUUUAACCACGUUGACGGGACUCUCGCUGCGUACAAAACGGCGUUCUACUUGCGGCCCAAUUUUUGGUGAAGGCUGAAAAUCAUUUCAAGGUGGAAGACAACUCAAAGGUGAGGCUGAGAGGCUUGGGACCGGAGGCUUGUGGUGCCAGGAUGGACCGGAGACUGAGGCUGGAGACCAGGGGCCUGCAGCACCGGACCAGAGGACCAGGAAUCCAUGGCUGAAGGAGCUGAUGGAGGCCCUGCCUGGUGGAGGAGCCAUGCUGAAAGCCCUGCCUGGUGGAGGAGCUGACGGAGGCCCUGCCUGGUGGAGGAUGUCUGUCGUGGGACCAGGACUCUUUCUGAGGAGAGCAGAUGGAGGAGCUGAGACGCUGGAGGACAACUAGGAAUCAACCAACAAGGAUUCCUCAACGUGUUUCUGGAGCGGAGGCCAGCUGGUAGGGGAGCCGUGAAUCUGGAGGAUGACCAUCACUCUACCAACAAGGAUUACUUUAGGGCCAGACUCGCGCUGUUUGUUCCAGACCAGGACUCUGGCUGAGGAGAGCUGAUGGAGGAGCCAAGACUCUGUAGGACGACAUCACUCCACCAACCAGGAUCCUCACCAGGAAUCUGGAGGACUGACGGAGAAGCUGUACAUCUGGAAGGCAAAUCCUGAGGACGAUCAGGACUCUACCAUCAAGGAUUCCUCACACACAUGAGCUGAACCUCACCUGAUCCUGUUUGGUCGGGGGCAGACGCACCUGAGCUGAACCCCACCUGAUCCGGACAUCCUGCUGGUCCCGUCUCCUCAGUUCAUCUGAGCCUCUUCCUCCAGAAGACAUGCUGAGCUCGGCGGUCUGAGGCUGAUGUAUCAAUGACCUCCAGUGGGAGUGAUCUUCUUGACCCCACAUGUAGCCGUGUGCUUCCACACGCCUUUCCCUCACGUCUGUCACUAACCUCAUUACUUCACUACUCUCUACUCCUUCUCCUUCUUCUUCCUUCUCCGUGGUUCGAACCUUUACUCUGAAGGAGUGUCUCCUUGAACCUUUACACUGAAGGAGCGUCUUCCUGUCCUCAGAGGGUUCAGCGUUAGGGUUGAGAGUCAGGGUUUAGAGUCAGGGACAGAGCUGGUCAGGGAGGGCUGGUUUUACAUAAACCUUUUCACUUGCUUUCUGAAUGGUGGUGACAUUUUGAAAAGAUUAAUUUGGGAAAAUGUUUUCCUCUUUUUUUGCUUUACAAAAAUAUGUAUUAAACUUCUGUGUUUGUAACCAGACCAGGUAUCCAUGGCUGAAGGAGCUGAUGGUGGAGCCGUGCUGAAAGAGCGGAUGGAGGAGCCGGGCUGACGGCCCUGCCUGGUGGAGGAGCCGUGCUGACGGCCCUGCCUGGUGGAGGAGCCGUGCUGACGGCCCUGCCUGGUGGAGGAGCCGUGCUGACGGCCCUGCCUGGUGGAAGAGCCGUGCUGACGGCCCUGCCUGGUGGAGGAUGUCUGUCGUGGGGUAGAUGGAGCCUGACUCUGUGACAUCACACUCACUGCCACUUCUCGUAGAAUACUGCUACCACAAACCACCGGCGUUUGUAACAAUAUACCAGACGACUACAUCUGUUUUACCACAUGUUGAAGCAAGACUUCUGCUGUUUGUUCCAGACCAGGACUCU